UCAGACCAAAAAAGAAGAAAAACAUGGAAUGAUAUGUUCCAUUACAUUGACUUGUUUGUAAUGAAAUGAUAUUGCUCUUUGUUUUGCCAACUUACAAUUAGGCUGUAAAAUAAUGAAUGGUUUUCAUGUUUUGGGGGUAAGUGGAAGUACACACUUAGAUGUUGCUGAAAUUGCUAACUUUGGUUUGGAUGUUAAAUUAAUGUCAGGA
RNAcentral lists this unclassified non-coding RNA (208 nucleotides) under Hevea brasiliensis (rubber tree). Lineage: Eukaryota; Viridiplantae; Streptophyta; Magnoliopsida; Malpighiales; Euphorbiaceae. The record is from RNAcentral.